CGCCUUACAGCUAGCCCGCCAAAAGUAAAAGCAACACACCACUUAAAUAACCCCCAAUGUACUUAACACCCAAUAAACAAAUCAUUUUACCCCCUUAGUAUGGGCGACAGAAAAGGGACUAGGAGCAAUAGAGAAAGUACCGCAAGGGAAAGCUGAAAGAGAAAUGAAACAAAUCAGUUUAAGCCUAAUAAAGCAGAGACUAAAACUCGUACCUUUUGCAUCAUGAUUUAGCUAGUACAAACCAAGCAAAGAGAACUUUAGUUUGAGACCCCGAAACCAAGUGAGCUACUCCAAGACAGCCUGACAAUAGGGCGAACCCGUCUCUGUGGCAAAAGAGUGGGACGAGCUUCGAGUAGCGGUGACAGACCUACCGAACUUGGUUAUAGCUGGUUGCCCGGGAAAUGAAUAGCAGUUCAGCCCUAUGGCUUCUCCUUUCAAGUAUGACCACUGUAACUGACAGCCGAAGAACCACCAUAGGAGUUAAUCAAAGGGGGUACAGCCCCUUUGAUACAGGACACAACCUUUCCAGGAGGGUAAAGAUCAUAAUUAAUUUAAGGUCCUAUGUUCGGGUGGGCUUAAGAGCAGCCAUCCCAAUAGAAAGCGUUAAACCUCGGACAUUCCCCCCACCAAUUAUCCGGAUAACUUCAUCCCAGCCCCCUAACCUUACCGGGCCGCUCCAUACUUCUAUGGAAGCGACCAUGCUAAUAUGAGUAAUAAGAGGGCUAAUGCCCCUCUCCUCGCACAAGUGUAAAUCGGAACGAACCCACACCGAAUUUUAACGGCCCCAAACAAAGAGGGAAAUGAACUAUAAAUAAAUAACAAGAAAUACACUCAACCGCCAACCGUUAACCCCACACUGGUGUGCCCCCGAGGAACGACUAAAAGAAAGAGAAGGAACUCGGCAAACAAAAUUGAAGCCUCGCCUGUUUACCAAAAACAUCGCCUCUUGCAAAAUCAAAGAAUAAGAGGUCCCGCCUGCCCUGUGACUAUAUGUUUAACGGCCGCGGUACUCUGACCGUGCGAAGGUAGCGCAAUCACUUGUCUUUUAAAUGGAGACCUGUAUGAAUGGCAUAACGAGGGCUUAACUGUCUCCUCUUUCCAGUCAAUGAAAUUGAUCUUCCCGUGCAGAAGCGGGAAUACGAACAUAAGACGAGAAGACCCUAUGGAGCUUUAGACACCAGGGCAGGUCAUGUUAAGAACCCCUAUGUUAAAAGACAAAACAAGAUGAACACUGCCCACAUGUCUUUGGUUGGGGCGACCGCGGGGAAACAAACAACCCCCAUGUGGACCGGGAGAACUUCUCCUAAAAGCAAGAACCGCAGUUCUAACUAACAGAACUUCUGACCUUUAAGAUCCGGCUAAUGCCGAUCAACGGACCGAGUUACCCUAGGGAUAACAGCGCAAUCCCCUUUGAGAGCCCAUAUCGAUGAGGGGGUUUACGACCUCGAUGUUGGAUCAGGACAUCCUGAUGGUGCAGCCGCUAUUAAGGGUUCGUUUGUUCAACGAUUAAAGUCCUACGUGAUCUGAGUUCAGACCGGAGUAAUCCAGGUCAGUUUCUAUCUAUGAAGCGAUCUUUUCUAGUACGAAAGGACCGAAAAGAAGAGGUCAAUGCUACAAGUAAGCCUCUCCCCUACUUACUGAAAACAACUAAAAUAAAUAAUAGGGCGCAUAAUCUAACCUGAGAUAACGGUAU
Molecule: ribosomal RNA, 1693 nt
Filed under: Parupeneus barberinus (dash-and-dot goatfish)
Lineage: Eukaryota; Metazoa; Chordata; Actinopteri; Syngnathiformes; Mullidae
Description: 16S ribosomal RNA
Rfam family: Bacterial large subunit ribosomal RNA
Source: RNAcentral